AAACUCAGAUCAUGUAAAAUUUCAAAGGUCGAACAGACCUAAUUUAUUAGCUCCUUCACCAAUAAUUAAUUUUAAUCCAACAUCGAGGUCGCAAACUUUUUUUUCAAUAAGAACUCUUAAAAAAAUUACGCUGUUAUCCCUAAGGUAAUUUAAUCUUUUAAUUCUAUAAACAAGGAUCAUAAACCUACAAAUAAAUAUUUUAAUAAAGAAAAGUUAAUUCAGUUUUCCAAUCACCCCAACUAAAUAAAUUAAUAAAAAUCUAAACUAAUUAUUCCUAAACCUUAGAUACCUAUUCAUCUAUAAAACUCUAUAGGGUCUUCUCGUCUUCUAUUUAAAUCUAAGCUUUUUCACUUAAAAAUAAAAUUCUAAUAAACUUUCUCAGAGACAAUCAUCUUUUCAUCGAACCCUUCAUACAAGCUUCCAAUUAAAAAACUAAUGACUAUGCUACCUUUGCACGGUCAAAAUACCGCGGCCAUUCAAUAUCCUCACUGGGCAGGCCUGACCUGAAAUAUUUAUCAACAGGACAUGUUUUU
RNAcentral lists this ribosomal RNA (533 nucleotides) under Trigonopterus sp. 408 MB-2015. RNAcentral describes it as "partial 16S ribosomal RNA". Lineage: Eukaryota; Metazoa; Arthropoda; Insecta; Coleoptera; Curculionidae. The record is from RNAcentral.